AUGGGAACUACUGUUGACCGUUCUGUAAAUGACGGUAAUGGUCCAAAUAUAUACAAAAUAAAUGGGCAGGUUUGUCAUCGAAUGGGAUCUCUUAUGCCUAAGGAAGGAAAUACCCCUAAGUAUGCCGAACUCUAUAUAUAUGAUACCCAGAAUGAGGUGCAAAAUAGGAUUCAGGCUUUAGAAAAGGGUGAAAAGAGUGAUGGUGGUUUAGAUGAAUCUAUUGUUGAAGGCUUGAUGCAUAUGCUUGAUACACACAAUUCUUAUGUCAAAACGUUUAGAUUAGCUAGAGAAAUACUAGCAGCCAAUAAGCAUGCCGAGAUAGCCAUUCGUUUAGUUGCCCCUGGAGAAUCUGAUGGCCCACAGUUUAGCCUUCCUACAACUGAUGAGCUAGCAUCUUUAAUGUUUGGUGAGUUCACGGUGGAGGUUUCUUGUCGUGACAUAAUAAUACAUGGUAGAAAUGACAAUCUGCAGCAAAUAUCUUCUUUGCAAACUUCAUAUAUGCCUUUGCAGUAUCCUCUUCUCUUCCCCUAUGCAGAACGUGGGUUUCAGCUCGGGCUUAAAUAUAUUAGUUCAGACCCUUUAGAUACUAGCAAAAGAACCAGGCCCACUAUGCAGGACUAUUAUUCCUAUUGUCUCCACUAUAGACCAGAGCAGCAUAAUCCAUACCUUUGUUGUGGUUUGCUUUCCUCACAGGCCAUUUUAGAUGCACGCGCUUGCAUAGACGAGUGGAGGCUGCAUUUCAUCAUCAAGGAUAAUAAUGAUCUUAGAGCAGAGAACUUGCAAGGAGUCACUGAUGCUAUUGGAAAAGGGCAGACAGAUGCAAGUUCUGUUGGCAAAAAAAACAUACUUCCAUCCUCUUUUACCGGUGGCCGGCGUUAUAUGAUUGAGAACUUCCAGGACGCAGUAGCUAUUUCACGUGUCUUUGGCCCACCGGACCUUUUCACCACCUUUACCUGUAAUCCCAAGUGGCCUGAGAUAACAGAAGCCCUGUGUUCUAAGCCUGGCCAGAUGCCUUCAGACAGGGCGGAUCUUCCGGUCAGGGUUUAUCACAUGAAUCUCAAUGACUAUAUUCAUGAUAUUAAGAGUGGGGAGGCCUUUGGUCCUGUCGUAGCGGUACUGCACAUUGUGGAGUUCCAGAAAAGAGGGCUUCCUCAUGCCCAUAUCCUGAUCUGGCUUGAUAGGAAAAAAACGGGAGCUCGAGACCUCUCUAGAUGA
RNAcentral lists this ribosomal RNA (1215 nucleotides) under Triticum aestivum (bread wheat). Its description in RNAcentral is "partial small subunit ribosomal RNA". The record is from RNAcentral. Lineage: Eukaryota; Viridiplantae; Streptophyta; Magnoliopsida; Poales; Poaceae.